RNAcentral lists this ribosomal RNA (492 nucleotides) under uncultured bacterium. RNAcentral's name for it is "partial 16S ribosomal RNA". It matches the Rfam family "Bacterial small subunit ribosomal RNA", at positions 29 to 507 of the family's 1533-position model. The record is from RNAcentral.
AGUGAGCGCUGGCGGUAGGCCUAACACAUGCAAGUCGAACGGCAGCACAGUAAGAGCUUGCUCUUACGGGUGGCGAGUGGCGGACGGGUGAGGAAUACAUCGGCAUCUACUUUUUCGUGGGGGAUAACGUAGGGAAACUUACGCUAAUACCGCAUAUGACCUACGGGUGAAAGCAGGGGAUCUUCGGACCUUGCGCGAUUGAAUGAGCCGAUGUCGGAUUAGCUAGUUGGCGGGGUAAAGGCCCACCAAGGCGACGAUCCGUAGCUGGUCUGAGAGGAUGAUCAGCCACACUGGAACUGAGACACGGUCCAGACUCCUACGGGAGGCAGCAGUGGGGAAUAUUGGACAAUGGGCGCAAGCCUGAUCCAGCCAUACCGCGUGGGUGAAGAAGGCCUUCGGGUUGUAAAGCCCUUUUGUUGGGAAAGAAAAGCAGCAGGUUAAUACCCCGCUGUUCUGACGGUACCCAAAGAAUAAGCACCGGCUAACUUCGUG